GACGAACGCUGGCGGCGUGCUUAACACAUGCAAGUCGUACGGUAAGGCCCUUUCGGGGGUACACGAGUGGCGAACGGGUGAGUAACACGUGAGUAACCUGCCCACAACUUUGGGAUAACGCUAGGAAACUGGUGCUAAUACUGGAUAUGUGCUCCUGCUGCAUGGUGGGGGUUGGAAAGCUCCGGCGGUUGUGGAUGGACUCGCGGCCUAUCAGCUUGUUGGUGGGGUAGUGGCCUACCAAGGCGGCGACGGGUAGCCGGCCUGAGAGGGUGACCGGCCACAUUGGGACUGAGAUACGGCCCAGACUCCUACGGGAGGCAGCAGUGGGGAAUAUUGCACAAUGGGCGCAAGCCUGAUGCAGCAACGCCGCGUGCGGGAUGACGGCCUUCGGGUUGUAAACCGCUUUCAGCAGGGACGAAGCUUUUUGGGACGGUACCUGCAGAAGAAGCACCGGCUAACUACGG
Molecule: ribosomal RNA, 464 nt
Filed under: uncultured bacterium
Lineage: Bacteria
Description: partial 16S ribosomal RNA
Rfam family: Bacterial small subunit ribosomal RNA
Source: RNAcentral